AAAUUGAAGAGUUUGAUCAUGGCUCAGAUUGAACGCUGGCGGCAGGCCUAACACAUGCAAGUCGAGCGGUAACACAGGGAGCUUGCUCCUGGGUGACGAGCGGCGGACGGGUGAGUAAUGUCUGGGAAACUGCCUGAUGGAGGGGGAUAACUACUGGAAACGGUAGCUAAUACCGCAUAACGUCGCAAGACCAAAGAGRGGGACCUUCGGGCCUCUUGCCAUCAGAUGUGCCCAGAUGGGAUUAGCUAGUAGGUGGGGUAACGGCUCACCUAGGCGACGAUCCCUAGCUGGUCUGAGAGGAUGACCAGCCACACUGGAACUGAGACACGGUCCAGACUCCUACGGGAGGCAGCAGUGGGGAAUAUUGCACAAUGGGCGCAAGCCUGAUGCAGCCAUGCCGCGUGUAUGAAGAAGGCCUUCGGGUUGUAAAGUACUUUCAGCGGGGAGGAAGGC
RNAcentral lists this ribosomal RNA (453 nucleotides) under Enterobacter roggenkampii. RNAcentral describes it as "bacterial SSU rRNA". Lineage: Bacteria; Pseudomonadati; Pseudomonadota; Gammaproteobacteria; Enterobacterales; Enterobacteriaceae. The record is from RNAcentral.